CACAUCUGUACGUUGCAAUCUGUGGAUCAGCUACGAGGUAAGUCGCUCUUUGGAAGGGGUGGAGGUCUUUGCUGGACUUGUCUUCCGAAAAGUAUGAAGAGUGGAAGUCAAGGCUCAGAAUGGCGUCCUUUUUUACCUUAUCACCUUAACAAAAACUUCACCUUAGCUGCAGGGUUAAACCUCUGGGUUGGGGCUGGGGAUUUUCGUUGUUGUUGUUUUAAAGCAGCAGCCAAGGCCAUGUUUUUUAAGGUGGUGAGUUAAACGGAGCAAGAGCUGCGGUAGCCUUUUCCACCCAAUCUCUUUCUUCACAUCCUAGUCACAGCCAAGGGUAGGGUGGAUGGCAGUGAGGAUAAACAGCCCAGAAACAGGAUUCCUGCAGGGUGGGACUGGCAUUUUCCAUUUUUAUCUGAAGUUGUACUUUGAAUGCAGACACCUUUCUCUCAGGCCAGAAGCACUGCUCAUUUGUAUUGCUGGCUUCCAGUUAGCCUAUUUGCAAGGAUUACUUAGGAUUUCCAGACUGCAGGCCCAGCUACCCAGAGAGUGUGCCUCAAAGCCCCACCUCAAAGCUUUUAUCUCUAUGUGGCGGGAAACACCCACGAAAAUGCCAACGGCGGUAUUUGUAACUUGCCUUCUUCCUUUUGGGAACUGCUUUCUGCAGCUCUCUCUGCGUUAGAGGAAUAGCUACAGCUGGGAGCUGCUCCAGCCACGCAGGAGGAGAGGGCACCCAUUGAGAGGCGGGCACCCCUUCUGUCUCCCUCUGGCUAUGUUAACUGGAAACUAGGAAAGGGGUUCAGAUCAAAGUAACUGCUGUCUUCAGAAAGUUCCAUUCAUUAACUAAGUUAGCGGAAAUUAAAUGGUGUUUGGAGGAAGGUCAUUUCAGAAGGCCCAGGGCCAGAGGCUGAGGUCUAAAACUUCUAAUCUGGACUUCUAUUGAAGUUUGGCAGUAAGUUAAACAGGAAGUUGAAGGCUACCAUAUGUAAAUCCAGUUGUUGCCUGAAAUCAGUCAUUUCAAGGGAGUAUCUUGAAAGGACACAGACUGGGAAACAGGCAUGAGAAAAAAAAAAGGAAGUAGACAGACAUUUGGCUAGUAUGUGCCUGGACCACUUAACACUAAAGAUUAGAAACCUAGGGCUCUGAGUAAGAAUCAUUUGACCAGUAGCUAAAGUGAGUCAUGGCCUGCACAGAACUAGGGCACACAUGUUGAAGUCAGGAUGUUGAGAACAUCAGGCUUACUAAUUUGCAAGGCAGGAGUGCUGCUUCCAGUAGGGAAUGUGAUCAGGAUUUCACGGCUCAUUUUCCCAGCCUUUCCAACAGGUGCAAUCAAGUCAUCCGUGUACACAAGUGACUGCCCUGUUACAUCUGUUAGGAUUAAAUUUCCAUUUGUUCCAUUACUUUAUAUGAAGUGAUUUCUACUGCUGAGUCAGACAGAACACUUCCUCUUAGACCUAGGGACUUUUUUCAACAUUUUUAACAAUGUGUGUGUUUUUCAAAAUGUGUCCCAACCAGGUCUGCAGGUCUUCCUGGGUUGAAUGGACUGUUUACAGAAGGGGAAGAUUCAGGCCCAAGGUCAGGGUUACAGAAUUAUAUAAGGUUUCCUGUUUGGGCAGCUGGUCUAGCAACACCUCUGGUUGGGGCAGACUGGGUCUUGUUGAGAGAUAGCAUGCCCAGGAGGCUAGGGCAGGGAGAGUGCCAGGAGCAGGAAAGAACAUUUUUCUUUUCUUUUUUUUUUUAAGACCGUGUCUUACUCUGUCACCCAGGCUGGGGUGCAGUGGUGCGAUCUCGGCUCACUGCAACCUCCGCCUCCCAGGUUCAAACGAUUCUCCUGCCUCAGCCUCUCGUGUAGCUGGAAUUACAGCCGCCCGCCACCAUGCUUAGCUUAUUUUUAUAUUUUUAAUAGAGACGGGGUUUCACCAUGUGGGCCAGGCUGAUCUUGAACUCCUGACCUUAGAUGAUCUGUCUGCCUCGGCCUCCCAAAGUGCUGGGAUUACAGGCUUGAACCACCAAGCCCGGCCUGACAUUUUUCUUUUAAAUCUUUUAUCAACCAGCUUUCAUUUCUUGUCAGAUGUCACUUUUCAGCAACCUGUUGCUAUAUUCUCUGUUAGGAGAACUUUUUUUUUUUUUUUCUGGCCAGACUGAGAGAAAGGAAUGAAAGGAUGGAAGAAUUACAAGAUCAGGCACUGCUGUCUGUCUGUUCCACGGAUGUAACCACAGCACACGCGUGGCUCACGGUACUAGUGUGAUAAAUGCUUGUUACAUGAAGGCGUGAACAGGGAUGAGAAGAGACUUCCUGGAGAAACAAAAGGACUAACAAUCAGGAAGGGGAGGUGAUCGGGGCAGGAGUAAAGUGGACACCUCAGCAAAGCCAUUCGCUGUGAUCUCUGAUUGUGCAGUGUCAUGUCCUGUCACCAGAGCCCCCUCGUGUUUGAUGUUGGCCAAUGCCGCCAGCAUGAUCUAGCAGGCCAAAUCCUAAUCUACCAUUCUCUGACACCAGCUGGUCCCCUGGGUCGUCCACCCGAUGUCCCCCAUUCUCCCCACUUGGCCUCCCCCACAGGCUCUCGGCAAAGGACCGUGGGAGGCACCUGUGACACUGCCCUUUUCCUGUGCAGCUGUUUUUCUUCUUCAUUCUUUUCACUCCUCGUUACUCUUUUUUUUUUCACUCUCAGCCCACACAAAACUAGGAACUUUGUUAUUCUACUUAUUUUUCUGUACUCUGUCUGUUUGCACACAGAUGGAUAUCUGAGAGCCAGCGAACUUUCUUUACCUCCUAGUAUCAUUUCAUGAAAAUUAGUAGCACCUGCACAAUGGGGCCUUGGAGACAGGAAUAAAAGGAAAAAUCUGGAAUGGAAUCACAUGACGCAACAGGCUAUGAAGACUCCCUGCCCGGCUGCUAUAUGUCUGGUAAACAGAAUAAAUAGUACUUGAGCAUCCCUG
Molecule: long non-coding RNA, 2931 nt
Filed under: Homo sapiens (human)
Lineage: Eukaryota; Metazoa; Chordata; Mammalia; Primates; Hominidae
Description: non-protein coding DLGAP1-AS1:9
Source: RNAcentral